Molecule: ribosomal RNA, 165 nt
Filed under: uncultured bacterium
Lineage: Bacteria
Description: partial 16S rRNA
Rfam family: Bacterial small subunit ribosomal RNA
Source: RNAcentral
UAGGGAAUCUUCCACAAUGGACGAAAGUCUGAUGGAGCAACGCCGCGUGAGUGAAGAAGGGUUUCGGCUCGUAAAACUCUGUUGUUAAAGGAGAACAUAUCUGAGAGUAACUGUUCAGGUAUUGACGGUUAUUUAACCAGAAAGCCACGGCUAACUACGUGCCAC